RNAcentral lists this ribosomal RNA (231 nucleotides) under uncultured bacterium. Its description in RNAcentral is "partial 16S ribosomal RNA". It matches the Rfam family "Bacterial small subunit ribosomal RNA", at positions 103 to 334 of the family's 1533-position model. The record is from RNAcentral.
CGGGUGAGUAACGCGUGGGUAACCUGCCUUAUACAGGGGGAUAACAGUCAGAAAUGGCUGCUAAUACCGCAUAAGCGCACAGAGCUGCAUGGCUCAGUGUGAAAAACUCCGGUGGUAUAAGAUGGACCCGCGUUGGAUUAGCUAGUUGGUGGGGUAACGGCCCACCAAGGCGACGAUCCAUAGCCGGCCUGAGAGGGUGAACGGCCACAUUGGGACUGAGACACGGCCCAG